GAUGAACGCUGGCGGCGUGCCUAAUACAUGCAAGUCGAGCGAACGGACGAGAAGCUUGCUUUUCUGAUGUUAGCGGCGGACGGGUGAGUAACACGUGGAUAACCUACAUAUAAGACUGGGAUAACUUCGGGAAACCGGAGCUAAUACCGGAUAAUCUUUUGAACCGCAUGGUUCAAAAGUGAAAGACGGUCUUGCUGUAACUUAUAGAUGGAUCCGCGCUGCAUUAGCUAGUUGGUAAGGUAACGGCUUACCAAGGCAACGAUGCAUAGCCGACCUGAGAGGUUGAUCGGCCACACUGGAACUGAGACACGGUCCAGACUCCUACGGGAGGCAGCAGUAGGGAAUCUUCCGCAAUGGGCGAAAGCCUGACGGAGCAACGCCGCGUGAGUGAUGAAGGUCUUCGGAUCGUAAAACUCUGUUAUUAGGGAAGAACAUAUGUGUAAGUAACUGUGCACAUCUUGACGGUACCUAAUCGGAAAGCCACGGCUAACUACGUG
This 497-nucleotide ribosomal RNA is filed under the name uncultured bacterium. Its description in RNAcentral is "partial 16S ribosomal RNA". It matches the Rfam family "Bacterial small subunit ribosomal RNA", at positions 28 to 507 of the family's 1533-position model. The record is from RNAcentral.